GGCCACUGUGGUGUAGUGGUUUGAGAGUUAGACUAUGACUCUAAAAAGCAGGGUUCAAAUUCUUGCUUGGCCA
Non-coding RNA from Phrynosoma platyrhinos (Desert horned lizard), 73 nucleotides. The record is from the annotation of a GenBank genome assembly. NCBI's taxonomy places the organism in Eukaryota, Metazoa, Chordata, Lepidosauria, Squamata, Phrynosomatidae.